GUAGGCGUGGCUAACCGCCAACGCGGAAGUGCCUCUCUUUUCUCGAUCCGUACUCCUCAUUGUACUGUCGGAGUGCGGAAACAAAAACACCUUCUUCUUUUUGUCUUCGUGGCAGCUCGUGUACGUUUUUUCUUCUGGGCGCGAUGUUCUCCAAGAGGUUGAUGACGUGUCUGCGACCGUGCGCGUCCUUGACGAGCAGAAGACUUCUGUGCGCGGAGGCAAAGGGAACCGCGCCAGACAUGGCGGAAGGAAAUCCUCUGUUGCACGUGUCAAACGUGCGAAAGAGGCUGAGAGAGAUUGUGGGCGCUUCCACCAACUGGAGCGACCACCGGCAGGCCAUGUCGGAACGCGUGUCGCUAUCGUCCACGUUGGCCCGGUCGCAGAGCGAGCUCCCGGCCAGGAGCAUGAAGGACAGCCUCGUGGAGGUCCACCUCCCUCUGGGCUCCCAGCCGCAGCUGCGAGAGAAGUACCUCACCUUCCACAACACCGUCAGGUUUGGGCGCAUCCUGGAGGACUUGGACAGUUUAGCAGUGCUCAUCUCAUACGCACACACUUACAAUCCCGCCCUGAAGAGGUCGCCGUUGUCUAUUGUCACCGCCCUGGUGGACAAAAUAGACAUGAGGCAGCAGGCGAUCUAUCCCGGCUGCGACAUCAAGUUCACGGGUCACGUGACCUGGGUGGGCAAGACCUCCAUCGAAGCCAAGAUGCACAUGACGCAGUAUCGCAAUGGAGCUUAUUCUCCGGUUCUGGACGCCACGUUUGUCAUGGUGGCUCGUGAUCCGGAAAACAAGAGAGCGGCUUUUGUGAAUCCCCUGAGUCCGGAAGGUCCAGAGGAGGAGGAACUCUUCAGGCAGGGAGAAGGUAGGCGAGGACGCGUCGCACGAGACGCGGGUCGCGACCCGUCACCUCUAUCGUGCGUGUGCGCGCUGUGCAGUGAACAAGUCCCGUCGGGUGGAGCUCAGCACCGCGUCCCUCCUGAAGGUGGCGCCCACGGCCGAGGAGAGGAACAUCGUCCACGGCCUCUUCCUCAACACGCUCGACGCCAAGUAAGAGGUCGCUCGCUCGCGUGGACCUCCGCCACGCGACUCGCUCGCUCUGCGCGUUGUCUACGCUGUCGUCGUGGUUUGUGUGUGCGGUGCAGGACGGUGAGCUUCCGCGGUCGACUGUUGCCUCCCGACUCCGUUUGGAUGGAAGACGCCAAACUGAAAGGGUUGGAGAUCUGCCACCCGCAGGUCAACACAUCAGGGGAGCCGUUGGGAUGGAACCCUUCGACCCCAGCACGUCGACACUGUGUGUGUGUGUGUGUGUGUGUUCCAGGAGAGGAACAUCUUCAACAGGAUCUUUGGAGGCUUCCUGAUGAGGAAGGCGUACGAGCUGGGCUGGGCCAACGCCUGCGCUUUCGGGGGCGGUCGGCCCGGCCUGGUGGCCGUGGACGACAUUCUCUUCCAGAAACCCGUGGAGAUCGGAUCCUUGUUGCUGCUCUCGUCGCAGGUGUGUUACACGGAGGGCAAGCACAUCCAGGUCAGAGUUCACAGCGAGGUCUUUGACCCGCUGACCCGCCAGCACAACACCACCAACGUCUUCCACUUCACCUUCGCGUCCGACCGCCACGUCCCCAACGUCGUCCCGCGGACGUACGGAGAGUCCAUGUUGUAUCUGGAUGGGAAACGCCACUUUAACCACACGGUGGAGUACUGACGGCGACCGCACCAAAACGUCUUUGUGUGUGUAUGAUCCAAGACACGCACAAGGUCAUGUGUGUGUGUGUGAUGUUCACGAGUGUGUCUCAACGGAAACAUGUUCGACAUCCAAGUUGUGUUACUGUGUCCUGUGUGAGGAUGUCACACACCUCAUACACGCCAAUAAAGAUCGUUGUUACUUUUAUUCAUCAUCCCGUCACGGAAAUGAAGUACAGCGGAAGCGAAAUCCAACAGACGAAUAGGAGGGGAGGGGUCAUGUGUUCAAUCCGAUUGGCCGUUAAGUCGAAGUGUCCCCAAAAAAAACAGUACACAACAAAAUGAAUGUUGAAAAACGUUUGGAAAGUUUGAAAGUUGCUCCCAACUUAUCUGACUGCUGAAUGAAAGAAAGGCGCGAUGGCGAGUGCCCACCGAAAUCCGGAGUCUGUCACAUCGGGGUCCGUUGCAACAUCUUAUCAUAUCCCGAGUGAUUUCGCGCAUCUUGUACGAUACUACAGUAUAUCGAAUCUCGUUACUCCUUUUACUUUACUCAGUUAUGAGCGUCACUGCUGUUUUUUUCUCCCUUGGCCUUUUGACGCAAUAAAUACAUUUUUAUUUCAAUGGA
Molecule: RNA transcript, 2301 nt
Organism: Phyllopteryx taeniolatus (common seadragon)
Lineage: Eukaryota; Metazoa; Chordata; Actinopteri; Syngnathiformes; Syngnathidae
Gene: acot9.1
Gene name: acyl-CoA thioesterase 9, tandem duplicate 1
Exons: 13
Source: RefSeq, a predicted model, not a curated record